Long non-coding RNA from Xenia sp. Carnegie-2017, 810 nucleotides. RefSeq lists it as uncharacterized. Lineage: Eukaryota; Metazoa; Cnidaria; Anthozoa; Malacalcyonacea; Xeniidae. The transcript has 2 exons. The record is from RefSeq and is a predicted model, not a curated record.
CCUGCCUUUGGUACGAUGAUUACAUCGUGACCAUUUCUUUGCUAUAUCUACGUAUCUUUUCCGGUGCUGUUGGACGAGUGAUAUCAAGUGUGAUUAAUGGUAAAAAACUUGUGCUUCAUUUGUGAGAUAUAAAAGGUUUCUUUGCGUUUCAUGACAAAAAAUAUGCCAAGCUUCUAUCUUUUCAAAAUCACUCGUGGAUUGGAAUGAUACCUUCCUGAUUGUAAGUUUUGGCGAAGGUAUGAAACUUGAUAAAUCUGAUAGUAGUAAUGAAAAUGUUUAAAGGAAAUCGCAUUUCCGACGGUCUAAAAUAUAAAAUUUUCCAAGGGGGAAUCCUCCCAGACCCCCUACAGAGCUAGCGCCUUUGGCGCUCGCAGUGGUGCACCAGUCACGAAAAUUGCUGGAUCCGCCCCUGCAAAUACCAAUUUCAAAACUGCCAAAAAAAGCUUCAAAAUGACCAUGUUUUUUGCAUAAAUAGCCAAAUUAUUAGUGGGCAGGAAUUUGCUGUGUAAUUUGCAAAUGAAUCACAAGAAACAAACCAAAAUUUACAAAAACACUUCACACAAAAACUUUUAGGAAUGACAAUACAUUAUAUGUGUAUUAAACUAAGUAUAAGAUAUCUGAUCAUAAUACUAGUCACAUGAUCUGGUAAGCACUUCUUAUUGUAUUGCACUAUCUUAUUGUUAUUUAAUCUCUUAUUAUGUUCUGCUCGAUACCACAUGGUUUUGGACAACACUUAUUAUGUAGCUUGUAUUAAUAAAUAUAUCUUGUUUUGUUCCUGCACAUUUGAAUAAUAAAUGAACAAAAAUUUGG